GGAGGGUUGGCAGAGUGGUAAUGCAGUGGUUUCGAAAACCAUCGGGUGAAAGCCCUCGUAGGUUCAAAUCCUACACCCUCCG
This 82-nucleotide transfer RNA is filed under the name Candidatus Daviesbacteria bacterium RIFCSPHIGHO2_12_FULL_37_16. Its description in RNAcentral is "tRNA-Ser". It matches the Rfam family "tRNA". From Rfam's summary of the family: Transfer RNA (tRNA) molecules are approximately 80 nucleotides in length. Their secondary structure includes four short double-helical elements and three loops (D, anti-codon, and T loops). Further hydrogen bonds mediate the characteristic L-shaped molecular structure. tRNAs have two regions of fundamental functional importance: the anti-codon, which is responsible for specific mRNA codon recognition, and the 3' end, to which the tRNAs corresponding amino acid is attached (by aminoacyl-tRNA synthetases). tRNAs cope with the degeneracy of the genetic code in two manners: having more than one tRNA (with a specific anti-codon) for a particular amino acid; and 'wobble' base-pairing, i.e. permitting non-standard base-pairing at the 3rd anti-codon position. Lineage: Bacteria; Candidatus Daviesiibacteriota. The record is from RNAcentral.